GACGAACGCUGGCGGCGUGCUUAACACAUGCAAGUCGAACGAUGAAGCUAGAGCUUGCUCUGGUGGAUUAGUGGCGAACGGGUGAGUAACACGUGAGUAACCUGCCCCGAACUCUGGGAUAACUGCUGGAAACGGUAGCUAAUACUGGAUACGAUCAACGAAGGCAUCUUCUGUUGGUGGAAAGAAUUUCGGUUCGGGAUGGACUCGCGGCCUAUCAGCUUGUUGGUGAGGUAACGGCUCACCAAGGCGACGACGGGUAGCCGGCCUGAGAGGGUGAUGGGCCACACUGGGACUGAGACACGGCCCAGACUCCUACGGGAGGCAGCAGUGGGGAAUAUUGCACAAUGGGCGCAAGCCUAAUGCAGCAACGCCGCGUGAGGGAUGACGGCCUUCGGGUUGUAAACCUCUUUUAGUAGGGAAGAAGCGAAAGUGACGGUACCUGCAGAAAAAGCACCGGCUAACUACGUGCCAGCAGCCGCCGUAA
This 484-nucleotide ribosomal RNA is filed under the name uncultured bacterium. RNAcentral's name for it is "partial 16S ribosomal RNA". It matches the Rfam family "Bacterial small subunit ribosomal RNA", at positions 28 to 523 of the family's 1533-position model. The record is from RNAcentral.